This 391-nucleotide long non-coding RNA is filed under the name Gallus gallus (chicken). RNAcentral describes it as "long non-coding RNA NONGGAT009081". The record is from RNAcentral. Lineage: Eukaryota; Metazoa; Chordata; Aves; Galliformes; Phasianidae.
CGCGCCGCGGCCCGCCCGUCCCCGGGGUUCUCUCCGUGCCCGGCGGGGCUGGGCCUACGGGCCGCCCCCUGCCCGCCCCGGGGCUCCUCCCCGCCGGCAGGGCCGCGGCAGCGCCGGUCCCCGCUUUGUCACUGAAGCACAAAGGUUCUCGGCGGCCCGGGGAGGCGGCGGCUCCCUCCGCCCCUGAGGCGGGGAGCGGGGCCGGGGCCGGGGUUUGUGGGGCUUUCAGUCAGCGAAGCUGCACGUGUGGGUGCUCUUAGCAUCGCCCCGCGGGGCCUUUCCCGAAGUGUCGAGCCAGAAUGCAGCAUCCCCGCGUCUGUCAAUGGCAGUGACGCCGGGGUAGGACCACCGCAGCGUCGCGCACAGCGCUGCUCCCCAGGACCGCGGUGGG